Molecule: ribosomal RNA, 466 nt
Filed under: uncultured bacterium
Lineage: Bacteria
Description: partial 16S ribosomal RNA
Rfam family: Bacterial small subunit ribosomal RNA
Source: RNAcentral
ACGAACGCUGGCGGCGUGCUUAACACAUGCAAGUCGCACGGAAAGGCCCUGCUUUUGUGGGGUGCUCGAGUGGCGAACGGGUGAGUAACACGUGAGUAACCUGCCCUUGACUUUGGGAUAACUUCAGGAAACUGGGGCUAAUACCGGAUAGGAGCUCCUGCUGCAUGGUGGGGUUGGAAAGUUUCGGCGGUUGGGGAUGGACUCGCGGCUUAUCAGCUUGUUGGUGGGGUAGUGGCUUACCAAGGCUUUGACGGGUAGCCGGCCUGAGAGGGUGACCGGCCACAUUGGGACUGAGAUACGGCCCAGACUCCUACGGGAGGCAGCAGUGGGGAAUAUUGCACAAUGGGCGGAAGCCUGAUGCAGCAACGCCGCGUGCGGGAUGACGGCCUUCGGGUUGUAAACCGCUUUCGCCUGUGACGAAGCGUGAGUGACGGUAAUGGGUAAAGAAGCACCGGCUAACUACGUG